CCCUCCCCCGGUGCAGCGCAACGCCGCGCGGCCUCUCCCCCGCCACGUGACCCACGGAGAGCGCGCGCGCGCCGCCGAGCGCCGUUCCACGCGACCCGGCGCGCCCGUCCACCCGCUCUCCCUCCACGUGACGGAGGGAGACAAAGACGCUCCCUCGGCACGUGACCAAGGUUUCCCAGCGAGGCGGGGAGCGGGAAGGGGAGUUGGCCCUGCCCACAGAAGGGGAGGUGCUUAGCUCCUCAGGGGGCGGGGCUUCGCGUUCCAGGCGGAACAGCCCUAACUGUUACCUUUUUGGAAAGAUCAACAAUUUGAAACUUCACUUCAAAGUUUUCUUACCACUGCCUCGUUCUCUGGAACAGACGGAUUUAACAUUGUGGGAAGGUUGCCUUGGAUCCAGAAAGGAGACAUGUGCCUGAGAUCCUACUGCAUACACUGACCACUCCUGACCAUAGGCCAGACACACAUUCUCCCUGCAGUACGGCAACUUGGUGGACAGUAGCUGGAAAUAAACGGAGACACAAGUCAACUGAAAAAUAUGUGGGGGAGGAGUGAUUGAACAAAAUCUAAACAUCCCUGAAAUCAUAUUUGAGGAAAUCAUACUCAAGCAGUAACAUGGACUUGGAAACUCUCCUGGAAGAAGGGCCCAGCUUAGACAUUAAAGGUUAGGGAUGUCCAUCAUCUGCAAUGUCUGCAACUUCAGAGUCAACUGCUGGUGUCACCAGCAGUGCUGCAAUUCAACUACAUCACACACUUGCUUUUCUUGAGAUGCUUGCUUCCCAUUUUGUGGACACUCUCCUCUCCACUACCCCAAAUCUAGGCUCACUGAAGGCUGAGACCAAUAGUAAAGGAAAGCUAUAAUCAGCUAGAAAGAAGUGCGAAAGCAGGACUCGUCUCCCUGCAAGACCAACGCUGUUCAGAGUUGACUCAAGAUUGAAAAUAAGCAGCUUUUAAAAGCACCACUGAGGCUGCAGGUGGUUUUGGAUGGAGCUGCACCCACAGUCGAGCCCAAAUCUCCCUCUUUACAUACAGAUGAAUGGUAUCCAAUAUCUAAUGACUACAAAGACAUUUACUAACUGGUAUUAAACCUUACCUACUAAAGGAGCAAAAUCAAGUACUGCGCCUCAUUGUUCAAUGUUGAAGAGAACAUGUUCCUGGAGACU
Long non-coding RNA from Mauremys mutica (yellowpond turtle), 1160 nucleotides. RefSeq lists it as uncharacterized. The transcript is spliced from 4 exons. The record is from RefSeq and is a predicted model, not a curated record. Lineage: Eukaryota; Metazoa; Chordata; Testudines; Geoemydidae.